AUGCGGAGCCGCAGCGAAAGCGAGUCUUAAGAGGGCGAAAUAGUCUGAGGUCGUGGACCCGAAACCGGGUGAUCUAGCCAUGAGCAGGUUGAAGUCGGGGUAAGACCCGAUGGAGGACCGAACCGACCCCCGUUGAAACGUUGGCGGAUGACUUGUGGCUAGGGGGGAAAUUCCAAUCGAACCCGGAGAUAGCUGGUUCUCCCCGAAAUAGCUUUAGGGCUAGCGUCGCAGCGAGAGAGCCGUGAAGGUAGAGCACUGAAUAUGCGAUGGCCGCAUCCCGCGGUACUGAGCAUAAUCAAACUCCGAAUGUCACGGUGUCAUCUGCGGCAGUCAGACGGCGAGUGAUAAGGUCCGUCGUCAAGAGGGAAACAGCCCAGACCAUCAGCUAAGGUCCCAAAGUGCAUGCUAAGUGGAAAAGGAAGUGGAGACGUGCAGACAACUAGGAGGUUGGCUCAGAAGCAGCCAUCCUUCAAAGAGUGCGUAACAGCUCACUAGUCGAAUGACUCUGCGCCGAUAAUUUACCGGGGCUAAGCAUGACACCGAAGCUAUGGACAGGAAUGUGGUAGGGGAGCAUUGCAUGCAGCGGAGAAGCAUGACCGAAAGGGCAUGUGGAGCGCAUGGAAGAGAGAAUGCCGGCGUGAGUAGCGGCACGUGGGUGAGAAUCCCACGCACCGAUGGCCCAAGGUCUCCAGAGGAAGGCUCGUCCUCUCUGGGAUAGUCGGGACCUAAGGCGAGGCCGAAAGGCGUAGCCGAUGGACGACGGGUGGAUAUUCCCGUACCCGAUGUGUGGCGAUGGAGUGACGGAGAAGGCUCAGGCAACCAGCUGGUGGAAUAGCUGGGGCAAGCGAGAUACCUGCGCACCAGGGAAAUCCGGUGCGCAUAAGGGGAAGGCGCGAUGCAUACGGAAAGCUUCGGCAAGUACGGAAAAGCUGAGAGCAGGCUUCCAGGAAAAGCUUCUAGCACAACACACAUCGGCCCGUACCGAAAAUGGACACACAUGGGCAAGGAGAGAAUCCUGAGGUGAGCGAGAGAACUAUAGCUAAGGAACUCUGCAAAAUGACCCCGUAACCUAGGGAGAAGGGGUGCUCCAGAAAUGGAGCCGCAGUAAAACGGCCCAAGCGACUGUUUACCAAAAACACAGCUCUCUGCGAAGGCGCAAGCCGAAGUAUAGGGGGUGACGCCUGCCCGGUGCUGGAAGGUCAAGGGGAGCUGUCAGCGCAAGCGAAGCAGCGAGCCGAAGCCCCAGUAAACGGCGGCCGUAACUAUAACGGUCCUAAGGUAGCGAAAUUCCUUGUCGGGCAAGUUCCGACCCGCACGAAAGGCGUAACGAUUUGGGCGCUGUCUCAGCUGUAGACUCGGUGAAGUCUUAGUACCUGUGAAGAUGCAGGUUGCCCGCGACUAGACGGAAAGACCCCAUGGAGCUUCACUGCAGGUUGACAUUGGGCUUGGAUGCAUGAUGUACAGGAUAGGUGGGAGGCUGUGAGCCGUGCGCGCCAGCGUACGGGGAGCCGCUGUUGGGAUACCACCCUUCAUGCAUCUAGGUCCUAACCGGAGGCAACGGGCCACGGGACAGUGUCAGUCGGGCAGUUUGACUGGGGCGGUCGCCUCCCAAAGAGUAACGGAGGCGCCCAAAGAUACCCUCAGCAUGGAUGGAAACCAUGCAUAGAGUGCAAAGGCAUAAGGGUGUCUGACUGCGAGACAUACAGGUCGGGCAGGGACGAAAGUCGGGCUUAGUGAUCCGGCGGAUCCGAAUGGAAGGGCCGUCGCUCAACGGAUAAAAGCUACCCUGGGGAUAACAGGCUGAUCUCCCCCAAGAGUUCACAUCGACGGGGAGGUUUGGCACCUCGAUGUCGGCUCAUCGCAUCCUGGAGCUGAAGUCGGUUCCAAGGGUUGGGCUGUUCGCCCAUUAAAGCGGUACGCGAGCUGGGUUCAGAACGUCGUGAGACAGUUCGGUCCCUAUCUGUCGUGGGCGCAGGAGGUUUGAGGAGAGCUGCCCCUAGUACGAGAGGACCGGGGUGGACGGACCGAUGGUGCACCAGUUGUCACGCCAGUGGCACAGCU
RNAcentral lists this ribosomal RNA (2061 nucleotides) under human gut metagenome. RNAcentral's name for it is "bacterial LSU rRNA". It matches the Rfam family "Bacterial large subunit ribosomal RNA", at positions 658 to 2742 of the family's 2925-position model. The record is from RNAcentral.